AUUUAAGUAGCUUAAUACUAGAGCUUAAUAUUGAAGAUAUUAUGGUAAAAAUUUUUUUUUCUUGAAUA
RNAcentral lists this transfer RNA (68 nucleotides) under Aphaenomurus interpositus. RNAcentral's name for it is "tRNA-Phe". Lineage: Eukaryota; Metazoa; Arthropoda; Collembola; Entomobryomorpha; Tomoceridae. The record is from RNAcentral.